GCGCACCAGGCGAGAAUACUUUACAAUGUGCGAAAGCACGAUAAGGGAACUCUGAGUGCCUCCUAAGGAGGCUGUUCAGGUGUCUAAAAAGCACCUGGAGUAAGGGCUGGGUAAGACCGGUGCCAGCCGCCGCGGUAACACCGGCAGCCCAGGUGGUAGCCACUUUUAUUGGGUCUAAAGCGUCCGUAGCCGGUUGAGUAAGUUCCUUGGGAAAUUUGGCUGCUCAACAGUCAAGCUUCCAGGGAAUACUGCUCGACUUGGGACUGGGAGAGGUCAGAGGUACUCCAGGGGUAGGGGUGAAAUCCAUUAAUCCCUGGGGGACCACCGGUAGCGAAGGCGUCUGACCAGACCAGGUCCGACGGUGAGGGACGAAGGCUAGGGGCGCGAACCGGAUUAGAUACCCGUGUAGU
This 410-nucleotide ribosomal RNA is filed under the name uncultured microorganism. RNAcentral's name for it is "bacterial SSU rRNA". It matches the Rfam family "Archaeal small subunit ribosomal RNA", at positions 330 to 745 of the family's 1478-position model. The record is from RNAcentral.